This is a long non-coding RNA of Nasonia vitripennis (jewel wasp), 1147 nucleotides long. RefSeq lists it as uncharacterized. Lineage: Eukaryota; Metazoa; Arthropoda; Insecta; Hymenoptera; Pteromalidae. The transcript is spliced from 2 exons. The record is from RefSeq and is a predicted model, not a curated record.
UCAGUGCCUAGAGUGGGAUAAAGUUUCUCCAAAAUGUUAGGAAUGACAAGAUUUGGUCGCAUUACUGCUAAAUACUGCAACGCAUGGACGAAAUUGGGUGAGCAAUAUCUGUUAAAAAUCGCAAUCAUCGUCACUGGCAUCAUGUUGUUGACAAAGAUAAUUUACCAAAACAGAAGCGAUCCAUUCACCAAUUAAAUCUACGUCCAUGUUAUGGUUAUUCGUGCAUACAGACUUUUUGUAAUGAACUGGCAAAUUCAGAGUGCGUACGAAUCGCGUGAACAUGAUGGGUAUGUAUUGAUCCCAAUCGAUGUAUCCAAUGUUAUUAGAUGCUAAUUUUGCUAUCAAGCGCAUAAGGUCAUUUUCCCAAUAAUGUGUAUUAUAGCAAACUUCCCAAAGUUUCAUAAACUCGUGAAGCCAUAACUCAUGACCAAUUGCAUGUUGCUCUACAGGCAAUUGUACUGGUAAAAACCAUUGAAGCAGUUUGAUCGUCAUUUUCAUAGUUUGUAUAUCUAAAGGGCAUAGUUUGGGUCUGAGUUUGUCCAAUAUUUGUUGAGUUGCUUUUGCCUAAAAAAAAUCGUUUUUCAUAAAUGCAUGUUCUUUAUUCUUUCGUUGUUUAAAACUAUAUUGCGCAAACAAAAAAUAAAUAAUAAGUUUAUUCAUGUGAUUGAUCAUAUAAAUCUACGUAAGUUUGUUACUUUGACAUCUUUUUUUGAAUAUGAAUUUUUUAAGUAAAAAACUGUGAUAUAAAUAAUAUGAAUAGUUAAUUGGAUCAAUAUAAAACAUAUACAUGUGACAUUGCAUAUUUUUCUUUUGUCUAAGUAUCUGAUUCAUAUAUGUUAUUUAAAAUUUUUUACUUUAAAUCAUUUAUUUAUAACUAAAAAAGUAAUAAUAACCUAUAAAUAUGUCAUAUUUUGAAUUCUGAAAUGUGUUACUUACAGGAAAAUAUAUCUUUGCUUUUUCAACUAAACUGUAUAAUGUAUUUUCGAAAGAUGGAGGAUAUCGAUGCAAUGAAAAGUGCUUGAGCUUUCGAGUAAGUACAGUGUGGCAUAAUUCAUACAAUGGUUCCCACUGUAGUUCCAAGUCACUUGGAGGAAUGGUCUCUUUUUUUCUGUAUUAUAAAAAUAUAAAUAUCGUUAUAUGAAAUAAA